Molecule: long non-coding RNA, 539 nt
Organism: Eptesicus fuscus (big brown bat)
Lineage: Eukaryota; Metazoa; Chordata; Mammalia; Chiroptera; Vespertilionidae
Exons: 5
Source: RefSeq, a predicted model, not a curated record
CUUACACAACAGAAGUUUAUUUUCUCACAGUUUUGGAGGCUAGAAAUCCAAGAUCAAGGAAAAGUUUGCAGAUGCCUGAAUAAGCGACCCAGCCAGGAUUCGAACCUGAGACUCAGAGCCAGAGGUGGCCCUCUGCAGGCAAAGAUCAGCCGGGACCUGGAAAUGCCGGCGCGAGAGACGGCCUUCUGCCCAUCAUCUCUCCAUGUGGACCCUCGGCACGGUGGCUUCAAGGUAGUUGGACUUGGUGGCUCAGAUCUCCAAGGGUGAAUGUCCUGGAGACCAAGGUGAAAGUUGCAUCUCCCAUCAUCCCGCCUUGGAAGUUGCUCUGCGUCUCAAAUUGUCAAAGCUGGAUCCUACAGAGUUUGGUGACAUUGAUAGGAUGAGAUGGAGACUACUGAUGGCUUUGAGGACAAGGAGAAAUAAAAGCAUUCUCGCUCUGGAGCCUGUAGAUGGGACCCUGGGAAAAACGGGCAGAAACCAGCAAAGGGUGAGAAUUCUUUCCGGAGUCAACUCUUCUCAAUCUCCACAGCACCCAGGCA